This is a long non-coding RNA of Polypterus senegalus (gray bichir), 347 nucleotides long. RefSeq lists it as uncharacterized. The record is from RefSeq and is a predicted model, not a curated record. The transcript has 3 exons. Lineage: Eukaryota; Metazoa; Chordata; Cladistia; Polypteriformes; Polypteridae.
UUUCUUCUUCCAUCAGUUAUUCUUCACUACUCGUCAUUGCCCGGGGUACAAGCUUCAGAGUGAUGGGUUUCACCGGCUGGAGGAAUCCACUGAUGCUGAGUUCAGCAGGGUACUGCAAAAUAUCAGGAACAGGUUUGUCUAUGGUCACUGAAAAUUAGAACAUGUGCAGAACAUUCACAACAAACUGAAUAAAGAAUUGGCAAGCAAAUCAGAAGAAGCUUGUACAUUACUAACUCGGCAAAUGAGCCCAUCUGAGGAUUACAGGCACCUUAUUAUACACCCUUGAGGAUUUCCUUACAUUAAAAAUCAGAUUUUCAGAUUAUUCCGUUCUGCAAGACAAGACUUUG